CAGCCCUCAGCAUCAGCAAUGCCUCUGUGCUGGCCAGGAGCCUCUUUCUUGACCGGGCUUCUCAGAGCUGCCCUCACCUCCUUCUGUGCCAAGUACACCUACGCUGUCUGCAGGGCUGUCCUCUGUCCCUUGUUCCAGGACCCAGGCAUAGCCCUCUCCCCUCCUGUCUCUGGCCCAGGUCCUGUGCAGACGGAGUUACUGUGUUCCCUCUUAAAGGAUGAGUCCUUGGAGCCAGACAUGCAGGUCCAGAUUCUGGGGCAGGUCCUGGAGCUGGCCUGGAGGGAAGAGACGUUCCUGGUGUUGCAGGCGCUCCUGGAGCGGCAGGUGGGUAGGCUCUGGGUUUCAGGGUUAGGCAAGCAGGCCGCUGCCUUAUACCUGUGUCGCUG
RNAcentral lists this long non-coding RNA (386 nucleotides) under Rattus norvegicus (Norway rat). RNAcentral describes it as "long non-coding RNA NONRATT017213". Lineage: Eukaryota; Metazoa; Chordata; Mammalia; Rodentia; Muridae. The record is from RNAcentral.